This 425-nucleotide ribosomal RNA is filed under the name uncultured bacterium. RNAcentral describes it as "bacterial SSU rRNA". It matches the Rfam family "Bacterial small subunit ribosomal RNA", at positions 356 to 773 of the family's 1533-position model. The record is from RNAcentral.
GGGGAAUUUUGCGCAAUGGACGAAAGUCUGACGCAGCAACGCCGCGUGGGUGAUGAAGGUCUUCGGAUUGUAAAACCCUGUCGUCGGGGACGAAGGUACGGGCGUUAAUAGCGUUCGUGUUUGACGGUACCCGGAGAGGAAGCCCCGGCUAACUCUGUGCCAGCAGCCGCGGUAAUACAGAGGGGGCAAGCGUUAUUCGGAAUUAUUGGGCGUAAAGGGCGCGUAGGCGGUGAUUCAAGUUGGAUGUGUAAUCCCCGGGCUCAACCUGGGAACUGCAUCCAAGACUGGAUCGCUAGAGUGCUGGAGAGGGUGGUGGAAUUCCUCGUGUAGCGGUGAAAUGCGUAGAGAUGAGGAGGAACACCAGUGGCGAAGGCGGCCACCUGGACAGUAACUGACGCUGAGGCGCGAAAGUGUGGGGAGCAAAC